GCCCGCAUAGCUCAGUUGGCAGAGCAGCUGAUUUGUAAUCAGCAGGUCGGAGGUUCGAAUCCCCCUGCGGGCU
RNAcentral lists this transfer RNA (73 nucleotides) under hydrothermal vent metagenome. Its description in RNAcentral is "tRNA-Thr-TGT". It matches the Rfam family "tRNA". Rfam says of the family: Transfer RNA (tRNA) molecules are approximately 80 nucleotides in length. Their secondary structure includes four short double-helical elements and three loops (D, anti-codon, and T loops). Further hydrogen bonds mediate the characteristic L-shaped molecular structure. tRNAs have two regions of fundamental functional importance: the anti-codon, which is responsible for specific mRNA codon recognition, and the 3' end, to which the tRNAs corresponding amino acid is attached (by aminoacyl-tRNA synthetases). tRNAs cope with the degeneracy of the genetic code in two manners: having more than one tRNA (with a specific anti-codon) for a particular amino acid; and 'wobble' base-pairing, i.e. permitting non-standard base-pairing at the 3rd anti-codon position. The record is from RNAcentral.